Molecule: long non-coding RNA, 3912 nt
Organism: Ctenopharyngodon idella (grass carp)
Lineage: Eukaryota; Metazoa; Chordata; Actinopteri; Cypriniformes; Xenocyprididae
Exons: 2
Source: RefSeq, a predicted model, not a curated record
CUAGAUUCACAAUAUUUUAAUAACACAGUAAGUUCAGCUCCUAAUGCAGAAGUGUUUCUCUACAAUCUUACCCUCACAAACAGGAAUGGCAGUUUCUUUCAGUUUUUCCGCUCCCUUUGGCCUAAAACACUGUGUUCGUGGUCAUUCAGUUUGAAAUGUUCACUGUAAACACGAGGCUUCUGAAAGAUUAACCAUCGUGCCGUUCUCUCCGUAUUUACUUUUUUUGCAGCCUUUAGCCACUGCCUUCAACACACUAGAUCCUUCACUGGAAACCUAAAUUACCUCACUUCUGCUAAACAUUUACACUUUGAAUUCUUCCCAGGAACAAUACAAGUUGACACCAUUAUGGCUAAAAGUUUGCUAAGGAGUAUUUCUUACUAAAGCAAAGUGUUAUUUGACUCUGACGGCAACAUGCCCAGUGCAUUAUGGGUGUUGAAGUUUUCCUAUUUGCCAAAAAGGAAGAAAACAGCCUUUUUUCUAGGUUUUCUCUAGUCAGAUAUCACUGAUUUAAUUUGUACAGGAGCUCUCAUUUUGAACUCUCAUUUCACAAAUAAUUUUAACUUUUGUUUUCUGUCUCUUUUUGUAUGAUGAGGGAUCAAAAAGUUAAUAAUUUACUAAGUCAAAAAAAGGACUCUUUUAUACCAGACCACUUUGUGUUGUGCAGAAAGAUAUAUUGUUUAAAAUACAAAAUACAGUGAUAACCUACUUUAUCAUGCAGUUCACUUUCAGUUUCAUCAUGAGUAUUUUUCACAAAUGGAAGUUUUGGGACCUGCUUUAUAAUAUGUAUAACAUUUAUGCUGCAUUAUCAUAAAUACGAGUUUCCUAGGUAAAAAUUGCACAUGAACGCCCUCCAAUUUCGAAAGUUGAAUGCAAUGAGCUUGUAAACACAACUUCGGAAGUGGGUAUUAUCAAAUUUCCGAUAGCACGUGAAGGCAGCAUUAAAUUCAAGUCAAUAAAAUGUAACUGAAAAGGACAUUAAGAUGAACAACAAUAUUAUCAAAAAUAAUAACUUGCCUUCACUUUGUGCACAACUAAAACAACCAAAAGACAAAGCCAAGAAUGUUUACAGAAAUUCUCAUUUUGAGUUCACAUCACAAGUAGCUUUUCUGUCAUUUGGACAAACCAAAGGAUAUGUUACCUUAGACAAAUCAAACUUCUUAAGUCACAUUUAUGUAACAUAUAAACAUGAAGCAAAAAGAAAGUUCCAAAAUAUUUUAUGUGUUCACUACUGUGCUUUACAGGGAAACCUGUUAGAUAUUUUUUUUCACUGACUAGUGUUAUUUACAUUUAAAGAAGAAAAUUAUUAGAUGAAUUAGAUUAAUCUGUCCCUUAGGACAGUGUAAAGAAAAAAACAAACUACAGAAAUGAGUGAGAUGAAAGACGUUUUAAAAUAUUCACAUAUUUCAAUCUUUCAAACAUUGCAAAAUAUAUAAAUCGGACUGCAUUGAGGAAGACAAAAAGUUCGACCCUUAAAGUAUCCGAACAUGGUUAAAACUGAAAGACUAAAACUGUUGUUGUCUCCUAGAUGACCUAGAUCAGGGGUUCCCAAACACAUUCCUGGAGCCUACUCAACACUGUACAUUUUGCAUGUAUCCUUUGUCUCACACACCCAUUUCAGGUCUUGGAGUCUCGACUAAUGAGCUGAUGAUCUGAAUCAGGUAUGUUUGAUUAAGGAAACAUGGAAAACAUGCAGUGUUGGGGAGGCUCCAGGAAUGUGUUUGGGAACCCCUGAUCUAGAUGAUCCUCCAUAUGUUUACCAAAAGUCUUUAACUUUAUACAUAAUGUUUGUCGUGGUAGCUGAGUUUUGGCACAUUCAAUGAACAGGGUCAACAUUUUUGAAAAUAGAGUUUUAUAUAUUUGACUGACCUAGUUUUCCUGAGUUGUCUGAUUUGUCAUUAUAUUCACCUGUGUCUUGUUAAUUAACUCUUUAAUUCCUUUUGUUCAUGUGUAGAGUGUAGAGGAGGGGGAAGAGGGGAAAGAACAACCAAUAAAACACUCAUUAUACAGAAUAAUGAUUAUUAAUAUAUGAGAACGGAGAAAAAUGACAAACUCCCAAGCACAAGGGAGAAAUGUGCAUAAGGGCUAAUAAUACUUUGAUAACGUUUUGUGACAUUUGAAUUCUCCGCUGUAAUGCGAUCUCAUGCGAACAUAUUUUUCAUUUGUGCUGGUAGAUUACAGCAAAACAAUCCACAUGCACCCAAACUUCUGCUCUGGUCGCAGGAAAACGCUUUUUUGUGUUGUAGUACUGAGGAAACAAGCACCUACGACCCAUGUCUCUGAAUGACAACAGAGACAGAGGCAAGAGAAGUGAUACUUCCUCAUGCAUAAUACCGCAAUUAUAAUCUUAUAUACUACAGCGCAGUGAUUGGAUUGAAUGAGCUUUAUGUUAUGAAUAAAUGCAGAGAACUGCUCGAAACUGUUGACGUCGGCAUGUUCGACCUGCCCAUACUGGAGCCAAUCAGCACUCCUGAUCUUGCUGGUAGUACACGAUGACGUCUGAUUUUGUGACGUUGCUCCGACUUUGCUUUUUAAACUGGAAGACAGAAAUCGCUCUGAAAAAUGCAAAACUAACUAAUUUCAACUUUUAAAUAAAAUUAAUGAGUACCUUUAGUGUUUUCAAUGAUGUGCAGCCUAUACAUAUCUGUUCACAUCUCAAAAAAUGUGUUCUGGGGUUUCAUGACCCUUUAAGCCUUCAGUUCUCUCUUAGUGUUUAUUGGUAUAUGUCAGUGGUGUAGUCUACGUGAUACGCAGGUAUACGCCGUAUACCCACUAGGAAUGUUCAAGGAUUUCCGUAUACCCACUUAAAAAAGCACGAGGAUACCUAACCAUCCAAUAAAUCACAAUAUGAUUUGUGGUUUGUUGCUUUUGACAUGAAACAAAGUCUCAUAUUUCUCAAAGUCUCAAGUUUCAUAUUUUGCCCAUUUUACUUCGGAAUAAAAAAAAAACAUAAAUACCGUUUUGGCGCUCUUUAAUGUGAUCGUGACAGAUCGCAGCAGUUCAAGAGAAGCAGCAGCCUGACGCCGCACGUGAACUGAUCCUCUCCUCCGCUUUAAGUUACCAGUUAUAGCGCGAAAUAAACAUGAAUGAACAUCUCAAGGUAUGAUAAAAGAUACACUACAACUUAACGAAAUCCAUAUCAUGUCUCGUAUAAUCGCUUAAUCAGUGUUUCAACCGCGGAAAGACGUUAAUAACAGCUUGUAAACAAUGUCACGUAACGUCACAUUUACCUCAGAACAAACAUAUUCAGUGACCAUAAACUCGUUAGUCAGCUAGAAAAAUGAACUCUAGAGAGGAGCAUUUAUCUAAAUAUAUGCACCAUGCAGCUUCUGAUGCCCAUGUGUGCAUAAACACCACUGAUCCUCACAAACUUCUCCAAAACACGCUUGUUCGGAGCAUCAGUGUAAAACACUCACAGUACAUUAAUUUUGACAAAUACGUGAAUAUAUUUGUGUUCAUGUAACACAAUGUGUUUUUAUUUUAUUUUAUUUAACAUAUUAAUAAUAAAAUUAAUAAAUUAUAUUAAUAUAUUUAAAUUAAUUUUAAGUUAUUUCACGGCCCACCAGGUUGAGAACCACUGCUCUGAAGGUAGUUUGAGAAGUGCAUAUAAUAUAACAUAGGUUAUAGCCUAUGUUCAACUCAUUAAAAUCUAAAUGAAACAGACAUUUAAAUAAAUAACAACAGCAAUCACUUGCCUUGACAUUGGCCACAGUUAAAGAAAAAAAAAAAAACUAAAACUAAACAAAAGACGAAGCCAAGGAGUUUUACAGGAACUCUCAUUUUGAGCUCAAUUUUCAAGUUACUUUUUUUUUUUUGGUCUGUCUCUGAUACUCUUGCAUGCUUGGUGAUCAACAAGUUAAUCAUUUACCAAAGUCAAAUAGUGUUUUUUUUUUUUUUUUUUUUUUUUUUUUUUUA